AGUGAACGCUGGCGGUAGGCCUAACACAUGCAAGUCGAACGGCAGCACAGUAAGAGCUUGCUCUUACGGGUGGCGAGUGGCGGACGGGUGAGGAAUACAUCGGAAUCUACUUUUUCGUGGGGGAUAACGUAGGGAAACUUACGCUAAUACCGCAUACGACCUACGGGUGAAAGCAGGGGAUCUUCGGACCUUGCGCGAUUGAAUGAGCCGAUGUCGGAUUAGCUAGUUGGCGGGGUAAAGGCCCACCAAGGCGACGAUCCGUAGCUGGUCUGAGAGGAUGAUCAGCCACACUGGAACUGAGACACGGUCCAGACUCCUACGGGAGGCAGCAGUGGGGAAUAUUGGACAAUGGGCGCAAGCCUGAUCCAGCCAUACUGCGUGGGUGAAGAAGGCCUUCGGGUUGUAAAGCCCUUUUGUUGGGAAGAAAAGCAGCAGGUUAAUACCCCGCUGUUCUGACGGUACCCAAAGAAUAAGCACCGGCUAACUUCGUG
Molecule: ribosomal RNA, 491 nt
Filed under: uncultured bacterium
Lineage: Bacteria
Description: partial 16S ribosomal RNA
Rfam family: Bacterial small subunit ribosomal RNA
Source: RNAcentral